GUGCCAGCCGCCGCGGUAAAACCAGCACCUCAAGUGGUCAGGAUGAUUAUUGGGCCUAAAGCAUCCGUAGCCUGUUCUGUAAGUUUCCGGUUAAAUCCAUUAGCUCAACUAAUGGGCUGCCGAAAAUACUGCAAAACUAGGGAGUGGGAGAGGUAGACGGUACUCGGUAGGAAGGGGUAAAAUCCUUUGAUCUAUUGAUGACCACCUGUGGCGAAGGCGGUCUACCAGAACACGUUCGACGGUGAGGGAUGAAAGCUGGGGGAGCAAACCGGAUUAGAUACCCGGGUAGUCCCAGCUGUAAACGAUGCAGACUCGGUGAUGCCCUGGCUUGUGGCCAGUGCAGUGCCGCAGGGAAGCCGUUAAGUUUGCCGCCUGGGAAGUACGUACGCAAGUAUGAAACUUAAAGGAAUUGGCGGGGGAGCACCACAAGGGGUGAAGCCUGCGGUUCAAUUGGAGUCAACGCCAGAAAUCUUACCCGAAGAGACAGCAGAAUGAAGGUCAAGCUGGAGACUUUACCAGACAAGCUGAGAAGUGGUGCAUGGCCGUCGCCAGCUCGUGCCGUGAGAUGUCCUGUUAAGUCAGGUAACGAGCGAGAUCCCUGCCUCUAGUUGCCACCAUUACUCUCCGGAGUAGUGGGGCGAAUUAGCGGGACCGCCGUAGUUAAUACGGAGGAAGGAAGGGGCCACGGCAGGUCAGUAUGCCCUGAAACUUUGGGGCCACACGCGGGCUGCAAUGGUAGUGACAGUGGGUUCCGAAUCCGAAAGGUGGAGGUAAUCCUCAAACACUACCACAGUUAUGAUUGAGGGCUGCAACUCGUCCUCAUGAAUAUGGAAUCCCUAGUAACUGCGUGUCAUUAUCGCGCGGUGAAUACGUCCCUGCUCCUUGCACACACCGCCCGUC
Molecule: ribosomal RNA, 900 nt
Filed under: uncultured archaeon
Lineage: Archaea
Description: bacterial SSU rRNA
Rfam family: Archaeal small subunit ribosomal RNA
Source: RNAcentral